ACACUUACCUGACGGGAGAUACCAUGAUCACGAAGGUCGUUUUCCCAGGGUGAGACUUACCCAUUGCACUCCAGAUGCGCUGACCCCCGUGAUUUCCCCAAAUGUGGGAAACUCGACUGCAUAACUUGUGAUAGUGGGGGACUGCAUUUAUGCUCUCCCCUA
This 162-nucleotide small nuclear RNA is filed under the name Propithecus coquereli (Coquerel's sifaka). Its description in RNAcentral is "U1 spliceosomal RNA (ENSPCOG00000000309.1)". It matches the Rfam family "U1 spliceosomal RNA". From Rfam's summary of the family: U1 is a small nuclear RNA (snRNA) component of the spliceosome (involved in pre-mRNA splicing). The record is from Rfam by way of RNAcentral. Lineage: Eukaryota; Metazoa; Chordata; Mammalia; Primates; Indriidae.